Long non-coding RNA from Cyprinus carpio (common carp), 532 nucleotides. RefSeq lists it as uncharacterized. The record is from RefSeq and is a predicted model, not a curated record. NCBI's taxonomy places the organism in Eukaryota, Metazoa, Chordata, Actinopteri, Cypriniformes, Cyprinidae.
CGAUACGUUUCAUUCAGGAUAAAGCAACGCUGAUGAUUGCAUCGCUUAAACUUGUUAAUUAAUAUCAUCCUUUACAGGUCAGCGGUCACGCCUCUUUCUUUCACUCGGCGCGGCGGUCGCUGGAGCCUGCAGGUCAGGACGCUGCAGCUCAACAAUGGCCCUGCCAACUUUAUCCUCAGAUGAGCUGAUCCAAACAUGACAGAAGGUGGUUUAACUAUAACAGAAGUUGAAGCACAGAAAUCAAGAGGGUGAACACAACACACCAUACACAAUUGUCCAGGUGACCCAAGAAGACUGGAAGUCCACAUUUGAGGGACGAAGCUCCUGUUCCCUGAAGGUAGACAGGGUCGAGGUGUGUGAAGGCAUGAAGGUAGAGGAAGCCAUGAUCUCCUUGUUUUAUUCAUAUUUUGUUUUCAAUCUUGAAUACCAGCCCAAAAACCAGAACUCUCUGACCUUCCUCCAGCGAUGUAUUGCAAAAAUGCCAUCCAAGAUAUCCAUGUCUUUCUUUCCUCAGUGGGAGAGAAAUUGUUUU